GGAAGGUCCGGGCGUUAUCCGGAUUUAUUGGGUUUAAAGGGAGCGUAGGCCGGAGAUUAAGCGUGUUGUGAAAUGUAGAUGCUCAACAUCUGAACUGCAGCGCGAACUGGUUUCCUUGAGUACGCACAAAGUGGGCGGAAUUCGUGGUGUAGCGGUGAAAUGCUUAGAUAUCACGAAGAACUCCGAUUGCGAAGGCAGCUCACUGGAGCGCAACUGACGCUGAAGCUUGAAAGUGCGGGUAUCGAACAGAAUUAGAUACCCUGGUAGUCCACACGGUAAACGAUGAAUACUCGCUGUUGGUCUGAAUAGGUCAGCGGCCAAGCGAAAGCAUUAAGCAUCCCACCUGGGGAGU
RNAcentral lists this ribosomal RNA (352 nucleotides) under uncultured bacterium. Its description in RNAcentral is "bacterial SSU rRNA". It matches the Rfam family "Bacterial small subunit ribosomal RNA", at positions 527 to 881 of the family's 1533-position model. The record is from RNAcentral.